GCAUUGGUGGUUCAGCAGUAGAGCUCUUGCCUUCAGUGCAGAAGACCUGGGCUCAAUUCCCAGCAGAGGCA
RNAcentral lists this transfer RNA (71 nucleotides) under Loxodonta africana (African savanna elephant). It matches the Rfam family "tRNA". Rfam says of the family: Transfer RNA (tRNA) molecules are approximately 80 nucleotides in length. Their secondary structure includes four short double-helical elements and three loops (D, anti-codon, and T loops). Lineage: Eukaryota; Metazoa; Chordata; Mammalia; Proboscidea; Elephantidae. The record is from Rfam by way of RNAcentral.